Small nucleolar RNA from Rhinopithecus roxellana (golden snub-nosed monkey), 125 nucleotides. Lineage: Eukaryota; Metazoa; Chordata; Mammalia; Primates; Cercopithecidae. The record is from Ensembl.
AAAAAUAUAUAUAUAUAUAUAGUGUGGUCAUGGGAUCUCCAACUGCAUGCAAGAGCAACCUGGAGAGACUUUGACAGAACAGGUCAGCAUAAUACCUGCAGCUGCCACUCGUCUUUCCUAUUGUG